CUGUGGCUGGCCUGGUUCUAUUCCUGUCUCUAGCCACUUUACAUAGCUCUUAGUCCAGGGGUAGGAAAUUCCUGCCGUUGGGAACUGGCUUUCAUCCAUUAAUGUCACAAAUUGCCACAGUUCCCUGGCCUGAAUUUGUAGCUGAUUUGAGGCAGAAGGAUUGUGAGGGUAUUAGUGCAUCGUGAAAUGGAGUAGCUGUUCCCUGUAGUUCAAGAAUCCAUAGAGGCUGAAGUAUGAAAUGGCUCUGGAUGCAAGGCAUGGUGGCAGAGAGGAUCAAUUUCAUUUUCUAUGUACCUGAGGUUUACAGAAAGCUGAAACAAUGAAAUAUCUCUGCUUUGGCAUGUUGGGUAAGCUUAAUCUCAGAUGCUGGAGCAUUGCGGAAUGGACAAAAAGCAUAAGGGAUGAUGUCGAGGGGAGAAACUCUCUCACCUGGUUACCAUGGAAACGUGUCUUCUCCUUAUUCCAGUAUCAUCCCUAAGCCCAGAGAGACAGAGGUCCGUCUGAUCUCACAGAGAAGACAGACAGCAUGCAUUUUUAAAGCUGCUUCACCUGAUACAUUUACAACCCACAGGUAUCAUGCACACACCUUCCAUACACACCACACAAUGCUUCUGACUACGCUGAAACACCCCUCAAUGAUUGUCAUGUAUAAGUAAAUUAAUUGUUUAUUCAAUACUAUGGUUUAAUUCCCUGUGUCACAACAUUAUUUUCUACAACUGUAUCUUGGUCAUGGAUCUAUUCUUCGCUGUUACUCAGUGCACUACAUACAAUAGUUAUAAUAAUAUCGGUCACCCCUUGUCACGGCUUCCAUCGUGGAUAUGAAAGGACAACCAAGGCGCAGCGGAAGUGUGGACACUCAUGUUUCUUUAAUUUACAAAAAAAACAGGCAAAGUAUCCACCAAAAAACAAUAAACAGUACUUACACUGGUAACAGUGCGGCAGGCUCAAACCAACGCAGUGCACACAAACAAUUCCACACAACCCCCAGUGACAAACAACUCCUACAUAUAUGACUCCCAAUCAGGAACAACGAUUCCCAGCUGUUCCUGAUCAGGAGUCACAAGACACACACAAGACUGCCACGUCCUGACCCCCAAACUACUACACCAGCUCCAUCUGCUGGUCAGGACGUGACACCCCUGCACCAGUGUCACCCAGUUCUCAGCUCUACACAACUUCAAACUCUUACUGAAAACAUUUCACACACACACAGACACACAGACAACACUUCCCUUUCCAAACCAACACAUAGUCUACAAUUUGAGCAAAGCCCCUACUCUUCAUUACUACACGUGUACUACACUUAAAUUAGACCAGCUUCAAAAUGUCAUCACACAGAGGGAAUGUGCUGUUGGAACCACACAAGAUCUAUGUACAGUUUCUUAUUUGGUGAAUUAUAGUAGUUGUAUCAAAAGCUCAAAUAAAGAUGUUUGACCCUUGGGACCAGCUUGGAAGGAUUCACUUCCCUUUUUGGCAAUGUACUUUAUUCAUAUUAUUUUUCCAGGUCCUAUGUUACAUCUAGCUGUGGG
RNAcentral lists this long non-coding RNA (1529 nucleotides) under Salmo salar (Atlantic salmon). RNAcentral's name for it is "lncRNA (ENSSSAG00000095363.1)". The record is from RNAcentral. Lineage: Eukaryota; Metazoa; Chordata; Actinopteri; Salmoniformes; Salmonidae.